AGAGCGAACGCUGGCGGCAGGCUUAACACAUGCAAGUCGAGCGGGCGUAGCAAUACGUCAGCGGCAGACGGGUGAGUAACGCGUGGGAACAUACCUUUUGGUUCGGAACAACACAGGGAAACUUGUGCUAAUACCGGAUAAGCCCUUACGGGGAAAGAUUUAUCGCCGAAAGAUUGGCCCGCGUCUGAUUAGCUAGUUGGUGAGGUAACGGCUCACCAAGGCGACGAUCAGUAGCUGGUCUGAGAGGAUGAUCAGCCACAUUGGGACUGAGACACGGCCCAAACUCCUACGGGAGGCAGCAGUGGGAAUAUUGGACAAUGGGCGCAAGCCUGAUCCAGCCAUGCCGCGUGAGUGAUGAAGGCCCUAGGGUUGUAAAACUCUUUCGACGGGGACGAUAAUGACGGUACCCGUAGAAGAAGCUCCGGCUAACUUCGCGCCAGCAGCCGC
RNAcentral lists this ribosomal RNA (447 nucleotides) under uncultured bacterium. RNAcentral's name for it is "SSU rRNA". It matches the Rfam family "Bacterial small subunit ribosomal RNA", at positions 26 to 518 of the family's 1533-position model. The record is from RNAcentral.